This 309-nucleotide ribosomal RNA is filed under the name uncultured Streptococcus sp. Its description in RNAcentral is "bacterial SSU rRNA". It matches the Rfam family "Bacterial small subunit ribosomal RNA", at positions 1070 to 1382 of the family's 1533-position model. Lineage: Bacteria; Bacillati; Bacillota; Bacilli; Lactobacillales; Streptococcaceae. The record is from RNAcentral.
AGAUGUUGGUUAAGUCCCGCAACGAGCGCAACCCUCGACCUUAGUUGCCAGCAUUCAGUUGGGCACUCUAAGGUGACUGCCGGCUAAAAGUCGGAGGAAGUGGGGAUGACGUCAAAUCAUCAUGCCCCUUAUGACCUGGGCUACACACGUGCUACAAUGGUUGGUACAACGAGUUGCGAGUCGGUGACGGCGAGCUAAUCUCUUAAAGCCAAUCUCAGUUCGGAUUGUAGGCUGCAACUCGCCUACAUGAAGUCGGAAUCGCUAGUAAUCGCGGAUCAGCACGCCGCGGUGAAUACGUUCCCGGGCCUU